GACGAACGCUGGCGGCGUGCCUAACACAUGCAAGUCGAACGGGAUCCAUGGGAGCUUGCUCCCGGAAGAUCUAGUGGCGAACGGGUGAGUAACACGUGAGAAACCUGCCUCGGAGUCGGGGGAUAACUCGGGGAAACCCGAGCUAAUACCGGAUACCUUCCUCGGACCGCAUGGUCCGUUGAAGAAAGAUUCAUCGCUCCGAGAUGGUCUCGCGGCCUAUCAGCUAGUUGGUGGGGUAACGGCCCACCAAGGCUACGACGGGUAGCUGGUUUGAGAGAAUGAUCAGCCACACUGGGACUGAGACACGGCCCAGACUCCUACGGGAGGCAGCAGUGGGGAAUCUUGCGCAAUGGGCGAAAGCCUGACGCAGCAACGCCGCGUGCGGGAAGAAGGCCUUUGGGUUGUAAACCGCUUUCAGCAGGGACGAAACUGACGGUACCUGCAGAAGAAGGUCCGGCUAACUACGUG
Molecule: ribosomal RNA, 468 nt
Filed under: uncultured bacterium
Lineage: Bacteria
Description: bacterial SSU rRNA
Rfam family: Bacterial small subunit ribosomal RNA
Source: RNAcentral